CACUAAGAAGCUUAUAUCAGCGUCAGCCUUUUAAGUUGAAGAGGAAAAACACUUUCCUUAGUGA
This 64-nucleotide transfer RNA is filed under the name Deinagkistrodon acutus (Chinese moccasin). RNAcentral describes it as "tRNA-Lys". The record is from RNAcentral. Lineage: Eukaryota; Metazoa; Chordata; Lepidosauria; Squamata; Viperidae.